Molecule: ribosomal RNA, 392 nt
Filed under: uncultured bacterium
Lineage: Bacteria
Description: partial 16S ribosomal RNA
Rfam family: Bacterial small subunit ribosomal RNA
Source: RNAcentral
AUACGGAGGAUGCGAGCGUUAUCCGGAUUUAUUGGGUUUAAAGGGUGCGUAGGCUGUGCGUUAAGUCAGGGGUGAAAUGCCGUCGCUCAACGACGGAGCUGCCCUUGAUACUGGCGUGCUGGAGUACGGAUGCCGUUGGAGGAAUGAGUGGUGUAGCGGUGAAAUGCUUAGAUAUCACUCAGAACACCGAUUGCGAAGGCAUCUGACGAAUCCGUCACUGACGCUGAGGCACGAAAGCGUGGGGAUAGAACAGGAUUAGAUACCCUGGUAUUCCACGCCGUAAACGAUGAUGACUAACCGUCGGCGAUAGACAGCCGGUGGCCAAGCGAAAGCGAUAAGUCAUCCACCUGAGGAGUACGUCGGCAACGAUGAAACUCAAAUGAAUUGGCGGG